Molecule: ribosomal RNA, 253 nt
Filed under: uncultured bacterium
Lineage: Bacteria
Description: partial 16S ribosomal RNA
Rfam family: Bacterial small subunit ribosomal RNA
Source: RNAcentral
UACGAAGGGGGCUAGCGUUGUUCGGAAUCACUGGGCGUAAAGCGCACGUAGGCGGCUUGUUAAGUCAGGGGUGAAAUCCUGGAGCUCAACUCCAGAACUGCCUUUGAUACUGGCGAGCUUGAGUCCGGGAGAGGUGAGUGGAACUGCGAGUGUAGAGGUGAAAUUCGUAGAUAUUCGCAAGAACACCAGUGGCGAAGGCGGCUCACUGGCCCGGUACUGACGCUGAGGUGCGAAAGCGUGGGGAGCAAACAGG